AAUUUGUGAACGAGUUCCAAGUGCGUAGGAGCUGACGUAACCUAACAAGAUCCGUCAAAGCUGGACGGUGAACCGAAGCCGAAACGAGACAACGCCCGGUAUCACGGUAUCAAUUCAUAACAAGUAACGCCAAAAUUUGUGCACACCACAAAUAGUCAGUUUCUUUUUCUUUCCCAUACAGUGACGGUUUCCGUACUUGUAAAAUUUCAUGUGUUGAAAGGUUUUAUUUUUUAUUCCUUUACGUCUCUCGAAAACUGAACCGCCGCAAUUGUAUCGGAUUAGUCAGUUAAUGAAACGGUGAAGGUGGGUGUUGAUCUCGAAUCUUUAUCGGAGGCGACUUCUGGUGCCGUAGGAUCACUGUUGAGCACGACGAUCUUGUACCCGCUUGACACAUGUAAGACCAAGUACCAGGCCGAGGUCAAAGCUCAUGGCCAGCAGAAAUACAGAUCCGGAAAAUUCCAAUUUGCGGUUGUUAUUAUGUAAUCACUGCAUGGUUGUUAUUUGCCUAUUUCUAUGGCCACAGCUAUUUCAAAUGAUUGUAUCUGGAAAAGAGUGGUUCUAAAUCAAUUGGAACAAAAGCAAACUUGAUUAUUGCUGCUACUGUUGGGGCUUGCACUGCCAUCGUGACUAGGUGAGACAUCGUUUGGCUAACUUUCUGUUCAUGUUUGAGAAUCAUUCCUGAUUAUGCAGGAUGAGGCAGUUUUGGCUUGGCAGGAAUUUCAGCAGGAUCUUGCCCAACUCUGGAAACUAUCCCAUUGCUAUCCCUAUAGGUCGGACUCUGCUUCCUUACUUCAGCAUCAGUUUCUACAACACCCACCUUGGGCUAGAUCAUGUCAGCUUCUGCAGCAAGAUGCCGGGCAGGAAAUUCUACAGUUACGGCAGGGACUGUCUUGCAAAAGUUUGCUGUCCUUGUCACUUUUCACUGCCUGGAUUUCUGUUCUACUGCACCCAGGAAUCCCUUUGCAUUUUCCAGCAGAUGCAGAUUCCAGCUGCCAAAAUAUGUCACUCUCUGGUUUCGAUUAAUUGCUACUACAGCUGCUGCUACAACCGGGGGUCCUCUUUAUGUUGCCUGCUACAGCCUCAUGAAGAUCAAUUCUGCUAGCAGCUGCCUCCCAAUUAAGAUGCUGACUCAGAUUAACUGCUGCACCUUUUACCUGUUUGGCAUGUCUUUAUCCCCAAAUGCCCCGAGCAAUAUCCAGUUCAAAAGCUCCAGGCUCAAGUGUGUCUUGUGUGCUACAAAUCUGGAUGUAAACCAGAUUUUGUAUAGCUCUAGGAUUUGGGCUGGCAUAUGGAUUUUGCUAUGUGUUUGUUACCUUGGGAGUGUUAAGAUCCUGUAAGAAGUGCACAUCUACCCAAAUCCGUGAAAUGGAGAACUGAUGCUAUCUCGCCACACGUGCUCUUGAUCGUAUCGCUGAAGAACUUAAAACAAAGAAGCUCAAAGGAAGGAUAUUUACCAGCAAGUUUGCCGAAAGCUAACUUAUAUAAUCCAUCUAAGACGAAGUAUGCUAGUUGAUUUUCCAGUAAUACAAUGUCUGUAAAUAUGUCUAUGUACAUUAUUGGUUAUCUAAAUAAAAAUCAUCCUCAGCCUGGAAUUUCCCAA
Long non-coding RNA from Mangifera indica (mango), 1600 nucleotides. RefSeq lists it as uncharacterized. The record is from RefSeq and is a predicted model, not a curated record. NCBI's taxonomy places the organism in Eukaryota, Viridiplantae, Streptophyta, Magnoliopsida, Sapindales, Anacardiaceae. The transcript is spliced from 3 exons.